AUCCAGCUAAUGAGUCUGAAAUAGGAUGAGACGCGCGUCAUGGAU
Schistosoma haematobium is the source of this 45-nucleotide non-coding RNA. The record is from Rfam. NCBI's taxonomy places the organism in Eukaryota, Metazoa, Platyhelminthes, Trematoda, Strigeidida, Schistosomatidae.